GCCUGCCGCUAUGCAAGGCGUGACUUUGCUCCUCCUUUGCCUUCUGACAUGAUUGUGAGGCCUCCCCAGCCAUGUGGAACUGAUUAAAAAAACCCACGCUGCUGAUAUCCUUGUCAGCCUUUUCCUGAAUCAUUGCUGUGCAGCUCCAGGGAGCCACGGGCCGGUGCCUUCUGACCGGCAGACUCCGUCCAUGGGCCUUCCUGUCCUUGGGGUCCUGGAGCUCUCUGUCUGAGCCUCCUUGGCCACUGAAGCAACACCCAGAGGCCUGCAUCCUCUAAGAAAUGCCAGCCAGGGUUGCAGAUGGAGCCAAGAAUUGAAAAUCUGGCCGAGUCUUUCCAUCUCACAGAUGAGCAAGCUGAACCUCAGAGGGCUUAGUGAUGUGGUUGAGGCACAGCCACCAAGGAUCAAUGACUGAGAAAAGUACUGAGUACACAGAAGUGGCGACGGGCAAAUGGAGAUCCUGGAAAAGGAGGUUUUCUACCAAAAUAUCCUUGUGAACAUGAGGACAGCUUCCAAACUGAGAAAGAGUGGGCUCGAGAAAGCUCUAAUGCUUCUUUCCCUGACACGAAGUGCUUCGUGCAGUGUUUGGCAUCAACAUGUCGGAGCCGUGGCAACGUUCUCCGUGCAUCCCCGCUUGGGCGUCAUUUUAGACAUAUAUUCACAGACACGUGUACAUCUUUAUGCCCACACAGAAGGGUAACAGCAGCCUUGCUUCAGAGGCCACACCUUCCAGGAAACCCUUCAGCCUGCCGUGUCUUAGCUGAUCCCUCUGCCAUCCCCUUGCAGAAGGAGCUUGGAGUCUCUCAGCUCAGCUGGACUAGAUGAAUCUUCUCAGGGUCGUCUUCUCCCACCUCUGGCUCCCAGUUCCUUCCCCCAGUCUCUCCCUCCCUGCUCUGUGUGAUCAGGGAAGCUGCAAACCCAACCCUUACAUCAAAAGGGAACUUGAAAAAUACUUGGAGCAAAAACUGCUAACUGUGCAUCCUUGCUGUAUGCUGGCGCUGAUAUUAAAUCAGGAAAUGGCACUGAACAGCCGCUCCGAACACAGAAACAGGGGUUGUCAACACAGCAACCAAAAGCAAUCUCUAACGGGCAGAGGUGAAAGGGACCUGGCACAGGGCCAGGAGGGGGGCUGCAACCCAGGAAAGAAUUCCUGAGCUGAGUGUGUCUGUGCCACCUCUCCAGUGUCCAGAAUGAAGCCUGGAUCUCAGUCCCUGGCAUGGAAUGCACCUUGUCUCUCUCCAUGAGGGAUGAAAGAUAAUUAGAUAAUUAAGCAUGUUGCUUAAAUACCUUUGAAAUUCUCCUUUUUAUUUCCAUACAUGUUUACCGAGCACCCACUAUGUGCCUGACAGUCCAAUAAAAAAGAUGCCUUCCCAUGUGGAGAUGACCUUCUAGCCCUCAGGACAGAACUCUGACCCUUUGACAUGGCAUUCAAGGUCCUUCGAGUGUUGGCUCCUGCAGAAGCUUUCAUCUCUGUUUCCAGCCUCCCUGAAAUAGCUCCCCAAGGGCACGAGGCAGUACCUUUGCUCCAUGCCUUUGCUUGGACUAGUCCUACCACCAGCAAUUCCUGCAUUUCUGUGUUUGGCAAGUUUCUGCUCAGCCUCCAAAGCCUUAACCAAGUGUCACCUUUUCUCUGCAGCAUUUUCUGCCACCCUCCCCAUUUCUUCCAAUAGAACCAGGGAUCUUUUACUUGGGAUCCAGAAGCACUGUGGACAUAUUGCCAUCACAACACCUUUCAUGUCACAAUGGCAAGGUUUGCACUGUCUUGGAGGAGAGGAAGGAAGCCAUAUUCAUCCCUGAACCCUCAUCUCCCAGCACUGGUUGUAAAACUGAAACAAAAAUGGAAAACCUUGAUGAAAUUCAUUGUUGGUGUGGCUAUGGGGAAACAGAUUUUCCAUUUCUGAUAGUAAAUGAAAUAGGCACCAUCUUGUUAGAGGCUAAUUUGACAUUAUUAACACUGAAAAUGCACACAUCUUUCAACCCAGCAAUUUUAUUUCUUGCUUUCUAGAGGAAUGUUUGCCCAUGUGCAGAAAGGCGCAUGUAAAAAGCUGAGUUGCAGCAUUGUUUGCAAUAGUAAAAGAUUUGAAAUUGCUUAAAUGUCGGUCAAUAUGGCCUGGAUAAAAAACUAUAGGGCAUCCAUUGGAUAGAAUGCUAUGCAUUAGUUAAAAAGAAGUAGAUUUCCAUGUAUUGACCAAGCAUUUGCUGAGUAAAAAUCAAAAGCAAGCUGUAGCUCUAGACAUAGAUGUUAAAAUUACAUUGCUGCAUUUUUUCACAA
RNAcentral lists this long non-coding RNA (2272 nucleotides) under Homo sapiens (human). RNAcentral describes it as "lncAB358.1". Lineage: Eukaryota; Metazoa; Chordata; Mammalia; Primates; Hominidae. The record is from RNAcentral.